AACGAACGCUGGCGGCAGGCUUAACACAUGCAAGUCGAGCGCCCCGCAAGGGGAGCGGCAGACGGGUGAGUAACACGUGGGAAUCUACCCAUCCCUACGGAACAACUCCGGGAAACUGGAGCUAAUACCGUAUACGCCCUUCGGGGGAAAGAUUUAUCGGGGAUGGAUGAGCCCGCGUUGGAUUAGCUAGUUGGUGGGGUAAAGGCCUACCAAGGCGACGAUCCAUAGCUGGUCUGAGAGGAUGAUCAGCCACAUUGGGACUGAGACACGGCCCAAACUCCUACGGGAGGCAGCAGUGGGGAAUAUUGGACAAUGGGCGCAAGCCUGAUCCAGCCAUGCCGCGUGAGUGAUGAAGGCCUUAGGGUUGUAAAGCUCUUUCACCGGAGAAGAUAAUGACGGUAUCCGGAGAAGAAGCCCCGGCUAACUUCGUGCCAGCAGCCGCCGUAA
Molecule: ribosomal RNA, 447 nt
Filed under: uncultured bacterium
Lineage: Bacteria
Description: partial 16S ribosomal RNA
Rfam family: Bacterial small subunit ribosomal RNA
Source: RNAcentral